RNAcentral lists this small RNA (393 nucleotides) under Histoplasma capsulatum var. duboisii H88. Its description in RNAcentral is "Histoplasma capsulatum H88 hypothetical RNA". Lineage: Eukaryota; Fungi; Ascomycota; Eurotiomycetes; Onygenales; Ajellomycetaceae. The record is from RNAcentral.
GCCCCGGUGGCCGAAUGGGUAAUGCGGCCGCCUGGUAGCGCCUUGGCGUGGGGACCCAAGGCGCGUGGGUUCGAAACCCGCAGGGGACAACAUUACAUCCGGAGCCAACUUCUCAGCUCCUAAAAUAAUGGGAUGUGAACCUGCCAAGUAGGUACCUUCGGGCGGACCUACUACUUGAUUUAGCUGAUUUUUCCUGGGCUGGGAACCUGUAUUGCAUGUACCAAAUCCUGUCUUUCAUUAAUUUUCCUAUGUUCCUGUUAUAUUCUUGGCGUCGUUCAACACUAAGCAUUCCUCCUGUAUAACCAACUCUUGCCUGUAUUUAACAUCACACAAGGACUCGUCAUAAGCACUGCUUGCAUACGAGUAUAACGGAAGAAUAAUAAUAAUCAGAGA